RNAcentral lists this ribosomal RNA (253 nucleotides) under uncultured bacterium. Its description in RNAcentral is "partial 16S ribosomal RNA". It matches the Rfam family "Bacterial small subunit ribosomal RNA", at positions 524 to 776 of the family's 1533-position model. The record is from RNAcentral.
UACAUGGGGUGCAAACGUUGCUCGGAAUUAUUGGGCGUAAAGCGCACGUAGGCGGUUUGUUAAGUCGGAUGUGAAAUCCCUCGGCUCAACUGAGGAAGUGCAUCCGAAACUGGCAGGCUUGAGUACUAAAGAGGGUCGCGGAAUUCCCGGUGUAGAGGUGAAAUUCGUAGAUAUCGGGAGGAACACCGGUGGCGAAGGCGGAUCUCUGGGCCAUUACUGACGCUGAGGAGCGAAAGCGUGGGGAGCGAACAGG